AAUUGACUUUGAAUCUCGCUGAACCUGUUAGUUUUUUUCUAAUUGCAUGAGUUUGAGUACCAUAAGUCUGUGAAUAUAUACUGCAAACACCAGAGUUUCUUGCCCACCCUUCCUUUUCUCUAUCAUUCUUCUUUGAUGCUCCAUUCAUUCCUUCCUCUGCAAGCAACCUCCCUUUCUCAUUAUUCCCUGUAUUUUUUUGGUUCUCUAUAGUUCAUCAGGAUUUUUUAUCCCCUGGUGGUGUGAGGUAGAGUUUAAUGAUCUCCUAAAUUUUUGGCGGAAAAAGCCUGCACAUGGUAUUGUUCUUUUCCUGCUUUCACUUUGGAUAAAUGUCCUUUCUGCUCUUCUUUCCUUGGCUGAUGCUAUAGUUUAUUCUCUACUGAGUUUGUGUUGCAUGCUCAGCUUUGUGAUUGGCACCUACGGGGCAAUUGUUUUUGGAGAUUUGUGCAGUUCUGCUGUUUCUAGUUCAUCAUUUACUAUGUGCCGCUUUGUUCAUCAACUCAACUCAUAUGUUCAGUUCAAAGCGGCUUUAAUAAUCAAGAAACUAAUUCAUCACUAGGAGGAUUAGCCGUUGCAUGCUAAGGAUACUUAACAAUCUGAGGGUAUUUGUUUUGCAAGUAACUGGCUGGUGUUAGACUGUGAUUGGUUCUUGUUGAUGUCAUCCUUCUCUGCCUGUGGGAUCAUAGAACAUCCUCUGAUGUUUAGUUUGUUGCCGUAAUGGCAACGACAUCACCGACCGAUGCCAAGCGCAAGUACUCAUGGUGGUGGGACAGUCAUAUCUGCCCAAAGAACCCCAAAUGGCUUCAGGAGAAUCUCAAAGGUAAAAUAUGUUAACUUGUUGAGCUGUCUGCAUGUCAUUUCCUUGGAUGAUCGGUUCCUUUGGAUUCUAAAAACUGAGCAUGCCUCAGAUGCUGAUCUGGCAUUAGAUUUGUAACCCUGAUUCUGAAGUGAAUAAGCAAACACACACAAUAACUGAAUUCGAAAUUUCACUGGAAGUUCCUCUGAGAUCAAUUUGAGCAGAAAUGUAGAUAUUCGGAGGUGGUUCAAAGAAUGCUUGCUAAAGACUGAAGCUUAUUGGAUUAUCCAAAUGAGCUUUAUUGGUGAUUUAAGCCCGUCAAAUUCAAAACUGGAAAUUCAGAAAAGAUAUGAGAUGGCAAUUUGUUAUUUAAAUAUGACUUAUGAAGCUUACAAUUAAAAUAAUAAAUUUAUAGUCUGAAUUUCGAAACCUGAAACUCUACAUGCUGUGAAUAUAUACUGCAAACACCAGAGUUGAUCAUUAAAACAUAUGUCGCUCCUAUUUUUUGUGUGAAAAUGUACUAGUUAUCUGCAAUACAAGCUAGACAUGAACCAACUCUUGCUUCUAAAGGAACAUUGUAUAAAUUUAGACCUCAUGUGUUAUGCUAUAGAUUUAUAAAUUUUGCUUUGUCUUAUUCCCGAGCUGGCACUAUAAAUUUGACUUAUCGUUAUGUAUAAGCAGCUCAUCUGGCGGCAAUACUAUUAGUUAUUAUUUAUUAUAAGUCAUACUGAUCAUGAAAAAUAUGCCACAGUAAACUUUGAAACAAUGCUGAUAACAGUUUCACACAGUUGUGCCCCUUUAUAUUGCUUGCUCUCACUCAAUAGGCACCAUUUGUGCAUUUCUGUUCCAUAUCUCUUACCCUGAUGUUGAAAAAGUAAUUAAGCCUUGAACUACUUGAAUCAUUGAUGUGCUGUAAAUCUAUGCUCGGUUCUAUAUGCGAAGGUAGACACUAUCUUUGCUGCUUGUGUCUUGAAUAAAUAAAUAAAAUUCUGUAAUGAUGAUCUGAAAUGUCACA
This 1808-nucleotide long non-coding RNA is filed under the name Triticum aestivum (bread wheat). RNAcentral's name for it is "long non-coding RNA (TAES_LNC023573)". The record is from RNAcentral. Lineage: Eukaryota; Viridiplantae; Streptophyta; Magnoliopsida; Poales; Poaceae.